UGACUUUACAAUUGGAAAAUAAAAACAGAAUGCCUUCAAGGGGCGCAAGCAUACGAGUUACUGAAAAGAAGUGUUUAAAUCUAAACUAAGAAAUUUAAAGUUACAUAUUCUCUGUUUGAGAGUGUUUGAUUCAGGAGGCUUUUGCUCUAUGUUUUUUCUUCCUUUUAUACUCUCUGAAUGAUCUCUUCAUGAUCAACUGCUUAAAAACUGCUUGAUCGCUCUAUAACUGCCCACUUUCCUCGUAGUGGCCAACUUGUCAUGGAACUGUCUUCUCUAACUACUGCCAUUACUUUUGUCGUUCAACCGCCUUCAAUUGAAUUCCUUGAAUCGUGGAACGUGAUAGGGCUACUCAAUAAUUGAUUUAUUAACCGCACCUUUGGGCAACCAUAACAUCUUACGUUUGCUAAGAUCCUGGACGACUCGAAGGUUUGGGCGAGAACAGGGGCUCAGUUCUGAGCGACUGCAUGGUAAUCCAUUCACUCAAAUCUUGGGUGACUUGUAACCUUGGAAGAUGGUAUUAUCGCAUUCAUAGGCUUCCCUAUUUGGGCCUUUAUCCUGCCUGAUUGGGUCGUUCUGUGGGCUAUUUGAUUUUUGGGAUCUUCUAAUUGAGCUUCAUUCCUUGGGCUAUUCGACUUGAGCUGAACUUUUUGUGUGUCAACACUUUGAAAGUCGUAGAACGUGGGGUGCUAAGAAACUUGUCUAUAGAUUUGAAAGUGAUUUUCCUACACACCUUAUGGAGACCAUACGAUGUUCCCUUGAUAUAUGGCUAAUGUGACACAAUUUUAUUUUGAGAGACAUCUCAAUGACGAUUUUUAUGGCCGAUAUUCUAAUUUAAGUCUUGCUUAUGUUUUUACAACCAUGGCGAUGGAAAUCCGCUUGAUGGAUAUGGUGGUAAAAUUGUACAUGAUUUUGAGCUGACCGAUGGUCGAGUGCUUUUCAAUGCAUCGGAGGAUUGGAUACUUGGUUCUCUUCCUCGUACACGUUUUUAUUGCAUUGCAUGAAAUUGGGCAUGCUCUUGGACUUGAUCAUAUGGAUAUUCCGGAUGCAAUUAUGUUCCCCUAUUUCCUUUAUGUCAUGGUAAAAAAAAAUUUACACC
This 1096-nucleotide long non-coding RNA is filed under the name Olea europaea subsp. europaea. The record is from RNAcentral. Lineage: Eukaryota; Viridiplantae; Streptophyta; Magnoliopsida; Lamiales; Oleaceae.